GACGAACGCUGGCGGCGUGCUUAACACAUGCAAGUCGAACGGAAAGGCCUGCUUUCCCUUGUGGAUUGCGGGUACUCGAGUGGCGAACGGGUGAGUAACACGUGAGUGAUCUGCCCCCAACUUGGGUAUAAGCCUGGGAAACUGGGUCUAAUUCCCGAUAGGACUGCAGGGUGGUGCCUGUGGUGGAAAACGAUUUUCUAGUGGUUGGGGAUGAGCUCGCGGCCUAUCAGCUUGUUGGUGGGGUAAUGGCCUACCAAGGCGGCGACGGGUAGCCGGCCUGAGAGGGUGGACGGCCACAUUGGGACUGAGAUACGGCCCAGACUCCUAGGGGAGGCAGCAGUGGGGAAUAGUGCACGAUGGGCGGAAGCCUGAUGCAGCGACGCCGCGUGGGGGAUGACGGCCUUCGGGUGGUAAACUCCUUUCGACCGCGAGGAAGCCACCUGGUUGGAAGGGUGGUGACGGUAGUGGUAGAAGAAGCACCGGCUAACUACGUG
This 494-nucleotide ribosomal RNA is filed under the name uncultured bacterium. Its description in RNAcentral is "partial 16S ribosomal RNA". It matches the Rfam family "Bacterial small subunit ribosomal RNA", at positions 28 to 507 of the family's 1533-position model. The record is from RNAcentral.